AAAAAAAAAACAUUUGGGGUUUGAAACAAAAAGAUGAGGACAAAACACAGGACUGGUGUCUGAGCAAGGUUGAUAUAAAUGUUUAGGCAUAAGAUGCUGCAGAAGUUAGCAAUUGGAUGGAAUAGAUUAUCUGACGAUGACAAUUACCUAAAUUUAAGAUAUUGAAAACUAGGGUUAUCUGAAUUGAUAUUUGAUAGCGAAGUUUAGAGGAAACAAAGGGUUUGAUUAGGGUUUUGGAGGGUAUUCGAGAAGGGAAAGCAUUUUGGAUGCUUUGUGAUAUGAAUGAACAGCAUUAGCAGCAGAACUUGACCUUAUUUAUUAAUGUUUGGUUUUCUCUCUCAGAUGUUGUCUUCAACAUCAGAAUGGCAAUUCUUUCACACGAAUAACAAAGCACUGCACAAUUUCUUCUUUUACAAAGUCUGCAUCUUAUGAUCUUCUCCCUGUCAUCAGUCAAACUUCCUCAGCUUAUUAUUAUUAUUGCACCCAAUUCCACUUCAACUUCUCACCCUUUGCUUUUCCAACCAAAUUUCACUACCUCAUUUCCUCAGGAUAAUGUCACUCAUGCAAAAUCAACUUCUUUAGGUUUUAUGGAGAAAAUAUAACACUAAUCAAAUCUUAAUUCAAUCAUAUAAAAACUUCUUUUAGGUUUACUGAACAAAGUUAAGAAAAUUAAAAAUCCAACACCAAUCAAAUCUGAAUUUAAUCGUAUAAAAGAUUAAUAUUAUUUUCAAAACGAC
RNAcentral lists this long non-coding RNA (737 nucleotides) under Vigna radiata. RNAcentral's name for it is "long non-coding RNA (VRAD_LNC014857)". The record is from RNAcentral. Lineage: Eukaryota; Viridiplantae; Streptophyta; Magnoliopsida; Fabales; Fabaceae.